CCUACGGGUGGCUGCAGUAACGAAUCUUCCGCAAUGGGCGAAAGCCUGACGGAGCAAUGCCGCGUGUGGGAUGAAGCGUCUCUGACGUGUAAACCACUGUCAGGGGUCGGAACCAACGAUUGACCCCAGAGGAAGUGGCGACUAACUCUGUGCCAGCAGUCGCGGUAAUACAGAGGCCACAAGCGUUAUUCGGAAUCACUGGGCUUAAAGGGUGCGUAGGCGGAUCCGCAAGUGUCCUGUGAAAUCCCACGGCUCAACCGUGGAACAGCAGGGCA
Molecule: ribosomal RNA, 275 nt
Filed under: uncultured bacterium
Lineage: Bacteria
Description: partial 16S ribosomal RNA
Rfam family: Bacterial small subunit ribosomal RNA
Source: RNAcentral